AACGAACGCUGGCGGCAUGCCUAACACAUGCAAGUCGAACGAGAUCUUCGGGUCUAGUGGCGCACGGGUGCGUAACGCGUGGGAAUCUGCCCUUUGGUUCGGAAUAACAGUUGGAAACGGCUGCUAAUACCGGAUGAUGACGAAAGGCCAAAGAUUUAUCGCCAGAGGAUGAGCCCGCGUAGGAUUAGCUAGUGGGUGUGGUAAAGGCGCACCAAGGCGACGAUCCUUAGCUGGUCUGAGAGGAUGAUCAGCCACACUGGGACUGAGACACGGCCCAGACUCCUACGGGAGGCAGCAGUGGGGAAUAUUGGACAAUGGGCGAAAGCCUGAUCCAGCAAUGCCGCGUGAGUGAUGAAGGCCUUAGGGUUGUAAAGCUCUUUUACCCGGGAUGAUAAUGACAGUACCGGGAGAAUAAGCUCCGGCUAACUCCGUGCCAGCCGCCGCCGUAA
This 449-nucleotide ribosomal RNA is filed under the name uncultured bacterium. Its description in RNAcentral is "partial 16S ribosomal RNA". It matches the Rfam family "Bacterial small subunit ribosomal RNA", at positions 29 to 523 of the family's 1533-position model. The record is from RNAcentral.